UUUGAAUAUAGAUGCAACUGCUACAAUUAUGUCCAACAGAAUGAAGGGGUUUGAUUUUAAAAAAGACUUAAGAGUCUUAAGAGAAGAGUUUAAUGAAUAGGGGAGAGUCAGAAGAAGUUGUUCAGAAGAAAAAGUGGUUUUGAAAGCCAGAAACUGAGGUGCAAAGAUAGAUUAAAACAGAAAAAAACCGUUCAGGCAUAGCAUGCCCAGCUAUUAUUAAAUCAUACAACGAAAACAUGGGUGGUGUAGAUGUUUCCGACCAAAUGAUGGAAUACUAUCGAUCUUUCUUUCGAACCCGGAUAUGGAUUUUUAAAGUCAUCCUACAUUUGUUCGAAUUAGCAAUAGUAAACAGCUGGAUGAAGUAUUAAAGGGAUUGUUAUAGUCAAAACCUUCGAAGCAAAGAUAUUAUGGAUCUUUUGGAAUUUAGACUUAAUCUUGAGGAAUAUCUGAUUGCCGGUACUAAGAAGCGUGUAUUGGAGGAAACAGAAUGUCAAGAAAAUAUAGAGGAAGAGACUAGCGUUGAAGGAAAUGAAAUAAAAAAGAGAAGAAUGCCUUCCAGUUUGCCCUGUGCAGAGAAACGCUUUGAUGGUUUUGAACACCGGUCAAAGAAUGAAGAAAUGAAGAACCCAGUUAAAUGCAGGUCCAACUGCUGAAUUAUAUACGGAAUAAUCAAACGGCGUCAACAAACAUCUUCUGGCUAAACGGGUAUUUCUAAAUUAAUGUAUAUCCACCAUCCAUAAGCGGGCACUUUACCAUAUACAAAAUAAAUAAAACUGAUUUUCCAUAAGGGCUACAAUGACCUACAGUUACUGACAUAUCGAUGGUCCAGUUCCAUAAAGCACCAAGUCCAAAAUGCAUGUUUUUUAUUUAUAGGCUCUUAAACAUAACGCGCACAUUUAAUUGUUCCAUAAAAAGUUUUCUGUGGGUAUAUUUUAAAUUGUAGGUGAUGAGAUUUAUUGAAGACACUCGGAGCAAUAGGAGUCAGAUACAAUAAAUAAUAUAUA
This is a long non-coding RNA of Anthonomus grandis grandis, 1004 nucleotides long. RefSeq lists it as uncharacterized. NCBI's taxonomy places the organism in Eukaryota, Metazoa, Arthropoda, Insecta, Coleoptera, Curculionidae. The transcript is spliced from 3 exons. The record is from RefSeq and is a predicted model, not a curated record.